UUAAAAUUGGUAUUUUGAAGCUAAUAUAACAUAUUGCUAGCAGUAGGGAUACUUUUGAAGUUUUUUCAUACUUUUAGAGGGCAAAUAUAAAAUUUUAAAAUUUUGAAGGGCAUUCAUGAAAUUAGAAUUUUUCUAUAAUAAUAACAUCCUCAUCCACACAAGAAGAGGAAGAACACAAAAGCCACACGACACUAACUAAAAGGAGAGAGAGAGAGAGAGAGAGAGAGAGAGCAACGUUUGGGGAGAGCGAAGGGGCAAAAGGUUAUCGCUUUGAGAGGUUCUUUUUCUUUAAUUUUUUUGACUCUUUCCAUAGUGCAUGGUUUUCGAAGCUUUGUUAUUAUUAUGAUUAUUAUUAUUAUUAUUAUUAUCAUCAUCAUCAUGAAGAAACGGAAACGACGACGAUACAUGAUGUCCUCGUGUUUUGUGCCCAAGGGACGCAUAAUAUAGCAGGAAAAAAAAACAAAUAAACCCCGGCCGUACGAAUAUUAUUAUACUUGAUUGCAACUCAGGAGGUAAAGUCAUCUUGCAUUGUUAAAUAUUUAGUUCAGUUCCAAAACUGCGGGCCAUUACAAUAAAAUAUUUUUUAAAUGACGUUUUUGAAUAAUACUUGAUUAGAAAAACUUCAAACACUCGCAUGUGAUUUUACUUUUUCUUUCUUUAAUAGCAUAUGGUUUAAUGUAUUAUCAAGUUAGUAUUAUGUGAUUUUGCACUUUUUAUUUUAGUACCCUGUGGUUUAAAGUGUAUCAAGUUAGUACCAUAUGGUUUCGCAUUUUCUCACUUUAGUACCGUAUGGUUUCACACUUUCUCACUUUAGUACCUUGUGGUUUAAAAAUCGUAGAGUACUAACUUAAUACAAAAAUAAAC
This 864-nucleotide long non-coding RNA is filed under the name Ananas comosus (pineapple). RNAcentral describes it as "long non-coding RNA (ACOM_LNC041317)". The record is from RNAcentral. Lineage: Eukaryota; Viridiplantae; Streptophyta; Magnoliopsida; Poales; Bromeliaceae.